Molecule: ribosomal RNA, 815 nt
Filed under: uncultured bacterium
Lineage: Bacteria
Description: bacterial SSU rRNA
Rfam family: Bacterial small subunit ribosomal RNA
Source: RNAcentral
UAAAGGUUGAUCCUGGCUCAGGAUGAAAGCUAACUACCCGCUUAACUCAUGCUAGUCAAGAGGAAACAGCCUUAAUUGCUUGCACUCAUUGGACGACUACCGGCGCAAGGUUGACUAACUCUGAUCCAACCUUCCCAUUACUGUGGCACACCCCGCCCAGAGGCAGACUAUUACCGCAUAGUCUUCCAUGACGCCAUCAGAUUUGAAGGACAGAUUUAUCGUCCAAUGCAUGGGCAUGCUUCUGAUUAGCUUGCUGGCGGGAUAACCCCCCCCCAACGCAACGAUCAAUAGGGGUUCUGAGAGGAAGGUCCCCCUCAUUGGAACUGAGACACGGUCCAAACUCCUACGGGAGGCAGCAGUGAGGAAUAUUGGUCAAUGGACGGAAGUCUGAACCAGCCAAGUAGCGUGCAGGAUGACGGCCCUAUGGGUUGUAAACUGCUUUUGUAUGGGGAUAAAGUUAGGGACGUGUCCCUAUUUGCAGGUACCAUACGAAUAAGGACCGGCUAAUUCCGUGCCAGCAGCCGCGGUAAUACGGAAGGUCCAGGCGUUAUCCGGAUUUAUUGGGUUUAAAGGGAGCGUAGGCUGGAGAUUAAGUGUGUUGUGAAAUGUAGACGCUCAACGUCUGAAUUGCAGCGCAUACUGGUUUCCUUGAGUACGCACAACGUUGGCGGAAUUCGUCGUGUAGCGGUGAAAUGCUUAGAUAUGACGAAGAACUCCGAUUGCGAAGGCAGCUGACGGGAGCGCAACUGACGCUUAAGCUCGAAGGUGCGGGUAUCAAACAGGAUUAGAUACCCUGGUAGUCCGCACAGUAAACG